This 690-nucleotide ribosomal RNA is filed under the name Triticum aestivum (bread wheat). Its description in RNAcentral is "partial small subunit ribosomal RNA". The record is from RNAcentral. Lineage: Eukaryota; Viridiplantae; Streptophyta; Magnoliopsida; Poales; Poaceae.
AUGGCCGCCUCCCACACCGUCUACUCCUUCCCCCAUCUCAUCACUAGAGAAGACAAGGCAAGUGGGAGGGAAAUCGACCGUGUAGGUCAGAUCCAUCCGCCACGACCUCGGCGGAGAUGGCCAAGUGGAUGGAGCGGACCUGCAAAUCUUCAAUCCAAGAGCCAGCAGCAGGUGAGGCAGAGAUGCCUGGGGCUGGGAGGCGACUGGAGCUGGAAGAGGGUGCUCAAGCUCGUGCUCCCCUGCCAGAGCAGCACCGGUCGGCCGUCUACAAGGUCAGGAACACGAGGUCGAGAUGGCGACAACGGCAAGGAGGAUGCCAAGGCGGCCAGGGCGUGGCCGGCUGCAGUACAGCUGGUCUGCAAGUUGAAGGUACUUACGCAGCCGGAGCCUGUUGUUAUUUGUGACCUGCACUACAUGGAUGUUUUCAGUCAGCAAGAUGAUUUGCUGUCUAUUGUGGGAGGCAUUCAGAAUCUGAUUUUGGUGUGGCAGGUUGGCACGUCGCACUGGGUGAAGGCUGCAGAUCAUGCACUCGAGAUCAUCCACAAAACAUCAGGGAGAGGUUCUGUCGGCUGGAGCUUGUGGGAGUAUCACGUCGUGAUCGAGACCUGGGCGACCAUCUAUAUGGGGCAGGUGCUAAUUAAUGGACAGUCCAAGGAUGAAUGGGAGAGGUGGCUGCUGAUUACGGUUUGA